This 1244-nucleotide long non-coding RNA is filed under the name Ananas comosus (pineapple). Its description in RNAcentral is "long non-coding RNA (ACOM_LNC012017)". Lineage: Eukaryota; Viridiplantae; Streptophyta; Magnoliopsida; Poales; Bromeliaceae. The record is from RNAcentral.
UUAGCCAUCUAUGCCACUCGACUCGGUCUUGAGUCAAUCAUCCGCGGAGUACCGCGUCAAGUCAGGCUCGAGGUGGAGGACGUCUCACAAGCACCUCAGCCUUAAGUCCAUGCGACACUAGGUCAAUCACAGGGAGAGGAGAACCGUCGAUCCCCGUGACCCUAAGUCGCUCAAGCUUAACGGGCGAGGAGAACCGUCAAACCCGUUGAGCUCACACCGGGAGAGGAGAACCGUCGAUCCCGUUGAAUCACUACAGGGAGAGGAGAACCGUCGAUCCCGUAGUUCUGAUUCACUUGUUUCCUGGCAUACCGGGAGAGGAGAACUGUCGAUCCCGUUGAAUCACUACCGGGAGAGGAGAACCGUCGAUCCCGUAGUUCUGAUUCUAUUUUGCCAACAGCACCACUUCUAUGGAUUUCGGAACCCACUUUCACAACUUAAGGGUUUACUCUUUUACCCUAUGUCGACGACCUUUCUAGGUCUAUACCAUUCACUUUCUAGUGGUCCUAUUACCACUAUAAUUCAUAACUUAGUUUAAUUUUACUAAGUGUCUCUAUACAUCAUAACCUAGGUUCAUUUACGCUAGGUUUCAUGUUCUUUCACCUAGAUCUCGAUUCUAGGUUUACUAAUUCAACCUAUGUUCAAUGACACUAGGUUCAUUUCAUGUCCAACCUAUGUUCAAUAACACUAGGUUUAUUUCAUGUCCAAUCUAUGUUCAAUAACACUAGGUUCAUGCCACUCGAUCUAUUCAUUAUCCUAGUUAUCCACGCGUAGAAUUAUAAUUUGUACAUUUUCAUUUAUUUUGUUACCGUCAAGAUUUCUAAUCAACUAGAAUUAUCGACAUUCAUAUAGCUUGAACUAUAGUACAUUCACUUUCAUAUAUGUUUAGACAUAGGCAUCAAACUUUCACUUUUAUGUGGCAACAAUUAUGUAUGCUUUAGUAUUUAUGUUCACAUUUCAUAUUCAACUUACAUGCCCUUGGCAUUUAUAGGUUCAACAUUCAUAUACCAUAUGUUUGCUCAUAUGAAUUUAGCAUAACUAUGCAUUUAGCUUUCACGUUCAUAUAUCGACAAUUAUAUGUAUCUAGCACAAUCUACAAUAUAUUCUUAUGCCUCUAGCAUGUUCAUUAUCUGUUUACCAUUAUACAUCAUCUAGCAUUAACCAUAAUGCAUUCAUAUAUGCAUCAAAUGAAACCACGAUUUACUUUGGCAUGGAAGUGACCUAAUCACUUCGGUAAAGCACAACCC